Molecule: long non-coding RNA, 506 nt
Organism: Humulus lupulus (European hop)
Lineage: Eukaryota; Viridiplantae; Streptophyta; Magnoliopsida; Rosales; Cannabaceae
Exons: 3
Source: RefSeq, a predicted model, not a curated record
CCAAAAAUUUCUUUUUCCUCAAGGAAAACACUCUCUUCCAUUUUCUCUCCCCAAAACCGAAAUCCCAAGUCUCUCUACUCUCCAUUUAUGCAAAUUUUCUCUCCAUGAGCCAAGAGCACUCAUUUCCGCAUUGAAGGAGGGAGAAGAUCAAGAGCACACUUAGGUAAAGGUUCAAGAGAGGCUUGUACGGGUAGGAUCUUAAGGAUUUAUCACUUUGGUGAUCAAGAGAAAGCAAGGUAAGCUCAAAGGCAAAGUGGAUCAGUGAGUGUUGGAGUUUAUCUUCGAGGAUGCAUAUGUGGACUGAACUUUUGGGAAUUUAUGUUUUGGGGACUAGAACCCAUAUGAUAAUUAAGAAUUUAUUUUGGGCUUGUUGAAUGUUUUUAUAUUAUGACAAUGUAAUUCACUUUUAAGUAUGCACAUACUUAUGAACUAUUGCAUGUUUUGAAUUUUUUUUUAUUAUGGAUUUUUGGUUACUUUAUUUUAGCAAACAAUUAUGUUUUUUCGCA